Molecule: microRNA precursor, 61 nt
Filed under: Parasteatoda tepidariorum (common house spider)
Lineage: Eukaryota; Metazoa; Arthropoda; Arachnida; Araneae; Theridiidae
Description: microRNA pte-mir-11939 precursor
Source: miRBase by way of RNAcentral
UGUUGCUUCAUAUGAUCUAAAGUACUUAAAAGUCUUAAGUACUAGAUUAUGAAGCAGCAGA